RNAcentral lists this ribosomal RNA (481 nucleotides) under uncultured bacterium. RNAcentral describes it as "bacterial SSU rRNA". It matches the Rfam family "Bacterial small subunit ribosomal RNA", at positions 41 to 507 of the family's 1533-position model. The record is from RNAcentral.
GGCAUGCCUAAUACAUGCAAGUCGAACGAAUGAAGGAGUGCUUGCACUCCGGAUUUAGUGGCGAACGGGUGAGUAACACGUAGGCAACCUGCCCAAGAGACGGGGACAACAGUUGGAAACGACUGCUAAUACCGGAUAGGAUAUUUCUUUGCAUGAAGAAAUAUUUAAAGAUGCGUAUGCAUCACUCUUGGAUGGGCCUGCGUCGCAUUAGCUAGUUGGUAAGGUAAUGGCUUACCAAAGCGACGAUGCGUAGCCGAGCUGAGAGGCUGAUCGGCCACACUGGAACUGAGACACGGUCCAGACUCCUACGGGAGGCAGCAGUAGGGAAUAUUCCACAAUGGGCGAAAGCCUGAUGGAGCAAUGCCGCGUGUGUGAUGAAGGCCUUCGGGUUGUAAAGCACUGUUGUAAGGGAAGAAUUACCAGAGUAGGAAAUGGCUCUGGGGUGACGGUACCUUACCAGAAAGCCACGGCUAACUACGUG